CUGCUUCUACUUUCUGUAUGGAGCUGGGAGCGUCUGCCUGUUGGACGCCCGAAGAGCGUCAGGUUUGAUCCUUGGUAUGCAGAUGAACAUGACGAAUUACAGCGCCUCACGUGGCCUUACAAGUGGGAUAUCGUUUCCGAGAUGACGAACGAUGUCAAUCUCAUGUACCAAAAGUACAUUGCCGAGUUGGACACGGUUACGCCUGAGCAGGUAAGGAGGUCAUUACUUUAG
RNAcentral lists this ribosomal RNA (231 nucleotides) under Triticum aestivum (bread wheat). RNAcentral's name for it is "partial small subunit ribosomal RNA". The record is from RNAcentral. Lineage: Eukaryota; Viridiplantae; Streptophyta; Magnoliopsida; Poales; Poaceae.